CUUUGAACUCUGCAAGGAAAACCAUUAUUUCUGGAAUGAAACCACAUGAUGUCGCUUGAUGGAGAUGGGGAAAUCAGGCCCUAGAUUUUACCUUAUAACCAGUGCAUCAAACAUUUGCUUCGACUAUGGCAGUUGUUAAUGUUGUAAAGCAGCUUAUAAGAUUUUUACAUGUUGAUUUUGUAUCCUGCAACUUUACUGAAUUC
Molecule: long non-coding RNA, 203 nt
Filed under: Pan troglodytes (chimpanzee)
Lineage: Eukaryota; Metazoa; Chordata; Mammalia; Primates; Hominidae
Description: long non-coding RNA NONPTRT005330
Source: RNAcentral